UGGCCCCCGGGAACCGGGCGCUGUCUCGGGGGUGGGGGGCCCCGCGGGGGAGACCCUGACUUAGGCCCGAGGGGCCACAGACACCCAGGGCUGAGUGGGCCAAGCCUGGGCGGAGCCGAAUAAUGGAGUGAUUUGCCCGUCGCCCUGAUUUGAAGGGCGUGUGGAAUUAUUGCACAGGCUCCUUGGAGAGUUUCUGCACCGAGAAAACGUCUGUCGAGGUCUCGCCGUUGGCGUCGUGCUCUAAGGCAGCGGCUGAACCUCACACAUUUUACUUCCAGGCGCCCCCAGCAGGGUCUGCACGGCUAUGGGGUCUGGGAUUAGCCUUCAGGAGGGGCGCCCGCCCCCUUACACUCAUUUCCCGCUCGCGAUUUCUGGUCGGUUGAGGCUUGGCCCCCCUUGAACCAGCAGAGCAGAUACGGUGACAUUUGUGCAAGCUCCGCGCUGUCCCGUGGGGCUGGAGGGGCACAGUUCCCCUGUGGAAGGCUCGGGCUGGCAAAUGUCCGUGACGAGUACAAGGUAUGUUUGGGUGGAGGUUUAAGCGCUGUGUCAAGUGCGUAAAAUCAGCGUUAACCACAGUGGGAGGCGGACGAUGUUUCUGGGUGUCUGAAAUGAAAGGGACACGCGAGACGAAGCUCUGAAGUGUUUUCAUCGAGAAAGAGUUUGUGCUCUACAUAGGGAGGAGUUAGAGGGUCCCACGCAUGACUCUAUCGGGAAGACCGAGGGAGGGCGGGCGGGAUGAUCUUAAGACCCAGAGUCACACAGGUGUGUGAUCGCCGGCCGGACUUCGUCAGCCUGCGGCCGGGAUGGUCCCCGGGGCCCACCUCCCCUCCCUGUGCUCGGCGAGUAUUUCAUGGCCCGAGGAGUCAGGAUGGCCAGAUUAGCCAGGAAAGCCUGGCCAGAUGCCCAGUAGGGUCCCCUUGGGUGACAGAACCUGGAAGGAUUGGCCCAGCGCCCGCGUAACGUGGCUUUCAUCCUUUCUAGAAACUCUCAAAUAUACAUAAUUUUUUAAAUCCGGAAGUUGUGGACAAUGGCUACGACUGCAGCUGCGCUCGCUAGGAGCCAGGAGCGCCCCUGUUUUAAGCAGAGGCUUUCGGAGGGGCCCCUGAGAUACUUGGAAUGUGCCCUGGCGGACACCCAAGGGGCCGUCCCUGUGAGCGGCCCCGGUGUGGCCGUUAGCACAGACCUGCUCUCUGGGCCCUGGAAAGGCGUCGGCGGUUUGUCCCAUCUCACCUGUCUGAAGGCCUGCUUGGGCUGGGAGACCCCCUUCCAUGGCAGAUGGUGGCCGUGGGCAGGAGGCCACAGUUCCUCGCCACGUGGACCCAUCACAGGACUAGUUAGCGUCCUCGUCACUGGGCAGCUGGCCUCGCCCACAGAGAGCGAGCCCGGACAAACAAGGCCGAAGGAAGCCCAGCACCCUUCCGACUCAGCCACGCUGUCCUUUCUGCCAAGUCCUGUUGGUCACACAAGCGAGCCAUCUUCACGCAGAGAAGCGCGACCAGCCCUUUCGAAAGAGCGGACGUUGGUGAGGGACCCUCCCUCCCUCGUCAUCCUGGGCGUAUGAGGUGUGGCUUUGAUCUGUCCCCUCCGAAUCCGGCUCUGAUUAACCGACUGAAGAAAGGAAGCAGACCGAGGUGACCAGGCGGCUCCCAGAACCAACCGGAAGGCUGGAGAAGCGGCUCGGAGAAGGGGCAGGAGCCCCGGGCCGGACCACCGGAGACUCUAGAGCAAGGCCGCGGCCUGCGACCGUGGCCACUGCUGCCGCUGGACCCUCCCUGUGGCCUCUGUGCUCCUCAGUUCUCACACACCGUGGGUGGAUGGCUCGAGUGUCCCUAAGCAUCAGCGUCCCGGGGGGGCUGACCGUUGGAGCCUGUGCCGCCCCCGCCAGGUGCCAGCAAAGAUGGAGGCCAGGCCGCCGAGGGAGACCCCCAACAGCAGGCGUUCACUCUCCCUGGUUCAUCCUGACUCAAGGUGACUUCGGUCUCCCCGAAUACCCAGAAUUACAAUGUGAAUGUAUUCCUGGAAAGUUAUGUUAAUUUGAGUCCUGGUUUAUAGACACUGGCUAAGUUUAAUACCUUUCAGAAAUCUGUGGAUAAUCCUUUUGUAAAGCAGCUAAUCCUUUUAGAGAACAAAUAAUCACUUCUUAACCAAUUUUUUUUUUUUUGUAAGGAUCAGGACUCUAGAUAGCAGGCUUUCUCACGGCGGAGCAUCCCACACUGGCUCCUCUGUUACUCUCAGGGAGAGAAUGUUCUAGCUUUGCAGAUACCUGCGCGCAGCGUCUCACGCUGCAUGAAAAACAACAGAACACUGAGGAGUUUUUAUUUCUUUCUUCCCCGUGAUUGUCUUCUGGAAAGAAGUACAGGCUAUUAAACAACGCUAAGAGCAUGUAUUUGUUUCAUUCCUGCCUGCAAGGGCGUUCGAAUCUGUGCGCAUUUAGCAGUGGGUGAGCGGAGAACAAGCAUUCCCUGUGUCAUUGGUGAGCCGCAUUUCACCAGGAGCACAUUCGCCAUCGACGCUGGCUUUUUCCCUCCUGAGAGGCAUUCACAUCACAGCACAAAUGUUUUGUCUCACUUCCUAGAGUUGCUUUCACGUUGCCUGGCUAACGGGGUGCAGAGAGCCGAGGCCACAAGGUGGGCGUGAGCCUGGACGUGGCGGGCCGGUCCGAGAGGCAGCGUCUCUGCUGUUCGUGGCCUGUGACGGCUUCUGUGUCUCCAGAAUAGUCUGGUGGCCGUGGAGGGCUGAGCAACCAGAAGCAGACAGGGAGCCCAGUCAGGGAGCGGCGGUCCUAAUCCAAUAUGAGAUUGAGAGAGACAGAAACAGAGACGGAAGAAGAGACAGGCUAGUAAUAGCUGCCGUCCAGACGUCUCUGUGUGUCAGGCACGUUCCUAGCUCUUCCAUCUUUACCCACAGAGGGACCGUAAGAGGCGGCAGGCAGCACAUUGCAGUGGCCUCACCGUGGGCAUGUUCCCACUCACCUCGAGGGAGUGAGACGUCGGAGGGCCGGAGGGUGUCGAUGUCUCAGGUCGUCUACUUCGGCUCCGUCUUCCCCUGGCACAGGACCCCCAGGCGUCAUCGGUUGGCACUGCGUGAGGCACUGGCUUCUCUUUUCAGGCACUGCGUUGUUCAAAAGCACAUUCCUUUGGCUACUAGACUCAUACCCUUGUGGCAAGAUGCCCCCUCUGAGAGGGCACAGGAGGAAACUGGACUCUCUAAUUUUCUCAGGUUUAGUGCGUGCAAGACGUCAGCCCAUUCUGUGCUUAGCAAAACCGAGGCUCGGAGGAGUCACACGAGUCGUUCAGGGCCAUGUAACUGGAAGGUGGCAGCCUGGGACCCAAGGCCCGGUUUGUCGGCUUCCCUAAGCAGGGUGGGUGUCUCGCCAGCCCUGGACAGCCGCUGCACGAGGAAGGAGCAGGACCUCGGCGGAGACACACCUGGGAGUCCAGGAGGCUUGUCCUGUGCCACCUGUUGUUCCAACUGUGAUUCUGAGAUGAUCGCAUCUUUGGAUAAAAUACGUGGCUAAACAAAAUAUAGUAACUCACGUUUUUGA
This is a long non-coding RNA of Pteropus alecto (black flying fox), 3544 nucleotides long. RefSeq lists it as uncharacterized. The record is from RefSeq and is a predicted model, not a curated record. The transcript is spliced from 2 exons. NCBI's taxonomy places the organism in Eukaryota, Metazoa, Chordata, Mammalia, Chiroptera, Pteropodidae.